UACGUAGGGUGCGAGCGUUGUCCGGAAUUACUGGGCGUAAAGAGCUCGUAGGUGGUUUGUCGCGUUGUCCGUGAAAACUCACAACUCAAUUGUGGGCGUGCGGGCGAUACGGGCAGACUGGAGUACUGCAGGGGAGACUGGAAUUCCUGGUGUAGCGGUGGAAUGCGCAGAUAUCAGGAGGAACACCGAUGGCGAAGGCAGAUCUCUGGGCCGUAACUGACGCUGAGGAGCGAAAGCAUGGGGAGCGAACAGG
This 253-nucleotide ribosomal RNA is filed under the name uncultured bacterium. Its description in RNAcentral is "partial 16S ribosomal RNA". It matches the Rfam family "Bacterial small subunit ribosomal RNA", at positions 524 to 776 of the family's 1533-position model. The record is from RNAcentral.